GUUUACGAACAGACUGUCAGCGAGAGAUGCAAACGAGGUACGUCGGGGGCUGAGCAGCGGCCACAGGGAGGCUAAGAUUACAGAGUAAAGCCCUCCUCCUCCUCCCUGAAGUAAUAACGGCGAAAUGAGACUGACAUUUCACUCUGGAAGACGCGCACUCCGUGAGCCGGGGGGCCGCAGGACAAACGCAAAGAUACGGAGCAGGAAGCCAUACACACACACACAGGAAGUAAUGCAUUAGAGAAGCUGCAGCUGUCUGCGUGUCUCAGCUAAAUGAGCCGUUGUUUCAGCCCACACUGAGAGGUGCCUCGGUGUUAGCAGAAAACAAACGAGGACUACCGUUUGGUUUCCAGCGGUGGGAUUCCACCGCCGGCUCGUUAGCGCGGCGUGCUCCACCUCGUAAAGUUACUGGCAUCGGGAAAACAAAGCGUUUUGGACGGUUUCAGCGCCAAACGCGGCACAGCGGGGUUUUAAAGGCGAUGCGUUUACCCUCCGUCUCUGCAUUUACCAGGCAAACAGCAACGUUUGCCCCGCUGACGUUGCGAACUAUUGCGCAUCCACGUGUUCGCGGCAACAAUUAAGUCAUGUUAAACUUGGACCCCUGCUGGUAAAACCCACUCCGGCUCAUGCAAGUACACGAGAGAGCAGUAUUUUUCACAUCCCCUUAGGAGAAUCUGUUUACUGCUCUGUUUUCAUGUUCAAUCCAGGUGAUGACGGCGCUUUGAAGCGAGAACAUUAACACACAUUCA
Molecule: long non-coding RNA, 749 nt
Filed under: Betta splendens (Siamese fighting fish)
Lineage: Eukaryota; Metazoa; Chordata; Actinopteri; Anabantiformes; Osphronemidae
Description: lncRNA (ENSBSLG00000022406.1)
Source: RNAcentral